Molecule: ribosomal RNA, 406 nt
Filed under: uncultured bacterium
Lineage: Bacteria
Description: partial 16S ribosomal RNA
Rfam family: Bacterial small subunit ribosomal RNA
Source: RNAcentral
AUUGAACGCUGGCGGCAGGCCUAACACAUGCAAGUCGAACGAGUGGCGGACGGGUGAGUAAUGUCUGGGAAACUGCCUGAUGGAGGGGGAUAACUACUGGAAACGGUAGCUAAUACCGCAUACCAUCGGAUGUGCCCAGAUGGGAUUAGCUAGUAGGUGGGGUAAAGGCUCACCUAGGCGACGCUCCCUAGCUGGUCUGAGAGGAUGACCAGCCACAGUGGAACGGAGACACGGCCCAGACUCCUACGGGAGGCAGCAGUGGGGAAUUUUGGACAAUGGGCGCAAGCCUGAUGCAGCCAUUCCGCGUGUAUGAAGAAGGCCUUCGGGUUGUAAAGUACUUUGGGCAGGGAAGCGUUACCCGCAGAAGAAGCACCGGCUAACUCCGUGCCAGCAGCCGCGGUAAUUC